Long non-coding RNA from Triticum dicoccoides, 2069 nucleotides. RefSeq lists it as uncharacterized. NCBI's taxonomy places the organism in Eukaryota, Viridiplantae, Streptophyta, Magnoliopsida, Poales, Poaceae. The record is from RefSeq and is a predicted model, not a curated record. The transcript is spliced from 8 exons.
AGUAGACGCCGCCGCCCGCCCCUUCCAGCCCCCGCCCUCCAGCCCCAACCCCAUGGAGAUCGAGAUCAAGCUCCGGCUCCCGACGUGGCCGCACACUGGCGCCUCUCCUCCUUCCUCGCGCCCCGCCUGCUCCGCACCGACGCCCCCGCGUGGCCCACGCCGCCGCCGUCCUGCGAUCCAAGUUCCAACUGACGCAGCCGGAUCUCGUGCGAUCUCACAGCUGCCACCGCCGCCGCCGAACUCACAGUCGGAUUUCGUGCAAUCUCACAGCCGCCGCCGCCGAACUCACAGCUGGAUCUCGUGCGAUCUCGCUGCCUCCGACGUACGGAAGUCUUCACUGUAUGGGAUCGCCGCCACGGUACUGGAUCGCCGCCGCGGACGUAAGAGGCUGAAGCGCGGCGGGUGGGACAGGGUGUGCGUCGCGUUGCUGGAGAACUUCCUCGAACGAACGCUGUGGUGGUGCCAUUGUCCAUUGAUCUGGACGUCGGUAGAAAAAUUGAGGGAAAUCAAAGUCAGAAGAAUUGAAAAUACUAUGCACUGUGUCUACAAAAAGUCCAAGCUGCCUAUUCCUACAUAAGGAUAAGGAUCCACGAAAUCUGGAGGACCUUCAGACUUGGCUCUUUGCUGGGGCAAAGGGUGUGAAGCGGUUUGCCGCAGAUUCAGAGGCCAUUUGGUUCAUCCAUAAUCUUCAAUGCAUCCCUAUCCUGAUGCUUCUAAUUUUCACUGCCCUCGGGUUUUGGAGCAUUGUGUAACUUUAUUUGGUUCAUUGCAGGUGCAGGGAACCUAUUGGAUUUACAUCUUCUACUCUGUAAGUGCCCUUCCCAUUGUACCUCUUUUUUAUGUGUUGAAUCACUGGUUCCCAAGGCUGCCAAAUUGAUCUUUACCAACAAAGCUUGACAAAGCAGUGUUCGAGGGUGUGCCUACGUGAAACACAUGGUCUCCAUCACCCUUUCCUUCUAGAGCCGGUACCAGUGGCGGUCUUGAAGCGGUGGUGCCUUUCUAUACCAAGACUGGAUACAAAAUAAGGUUAAUUUUUGUUUGCUCUGACGAUAGGGAGGCAAGACCAGGAUCACAUUCUUGGCCCCGUUUGAAGGAACGACGAUUUUCAGGAUUGACGUGGAUUGAUUUUCUUGAACAUGAAGGUGUCAUUUUCAUUGCCAUUGAACACUAUAGACAAUUAGUUCAGAGUUAACUACAUGUGAAGCUGAAGCUAAGCCAAUGUGCUUUUCCAGAAGAAGGCCAAGGCACAUCAAUCCAACACCAACCCACCUGCUAUGGAACUAAGGGAGGAAGGAAAAAGAACAUUGCCCCUGAGGGCUCGAGACGCACAAACAGGAAGCUGAGUUCGGGAAAGGUGGUUGUCUCCUUGACGCACACCAUAGUGCCCAUCUUUUCUAUUCUAAUGUCUUGUUCCUUGGACAGACACCUUGUGCUUUGUGCAGACCAUCAAUGCCUUUUCCUCCUGUUCGGCCAGGAGAUGAAUGCUUUCUAAACAUUGGUAAUAACAAUGAGAUCAGAGAGUACUGCUCUAUUCAUUGCUCUUCUAAAUCUUGUGAGUGCAAGGCAGGCAAAGUGUUAACUGAAACCCCAUGGCCUACUCGCCAUCGUCAACUUCCUCUUUGCGCUCGCCGUCAACGCUCCCAUGGGCGGAGCCACAAGGGGAUGGAUGUACAUAUGUACACCCGUUAAUCUAGGGAUGAGGGGACGAGGACAAGAAGGCCACGGGUAUCAUGGUGGAGAAGGAGGACAACAAUGACAUUGAGGAAGGGCAGACAUGCCGCUCCAUGGCAACUACGAUGACCAGUUCCUUACUCACAAUACUGGAGAUCUUCAUACAACCCCAUAUGCAACAACACAAUUUCCAUUACUUAGCAUGCAUCAUAAUGAAUCAAAUUAGUAUCUCUUUCCUUAUUUUUGGCUAGGAUGGAUUUCCGUUUCUUGUGUAUAUACAGAUUUACUACUACUGCUACAUUGUUACUCCAUUAUACUAAGAGAUUGGGACCUGGUCUGAUCCUUCCUAUAUGUAGUUGUAUUUGUCAUGACAGAUAGAGAUACCCUAUGGCAUUGCA